UACGAACCGUCCAAACGUUAUUCGGAAUCACUGGGCUUAAAGGGUGCGUAGGCGGCGCGGAAAGUUGGGUGUGAAAUCCCUCGGCUUAACCGAGGAACGGCGCCCAAAACUACCGUGCUUGAGGGAGAUAGAGGUGAGCGGAACUUAGGGUGGAGCGGUGAAAUGCGUUGAUAUCCUAAGGAACACCGGUGGCGAAAGCGGCUCACUGGAUCUCUUCUGACGCUGAUGCGCGAAAGCGUGGGGAGCAAACGGG
Molecule: ribosomal RNA, 253 nt
Filed under: uncultured bacterium
Lineage: Bacteria
Description: partial 16S ribosomal RNA
Rfam family: Bacterial small subunit ribosomal RNA
Source: RNAcentral